Molecule: non-coding RNA, 1889 nt
Organism: Paramisgurnus dabryanus
Lineage: Eukaryota; Metazoa; Chordata; Actinopteri; Cypriniformes; Cobitidae
Source: RefSeq, a predicted model, not a curated record
GUCAGAAAUAGGGGUACAGUAGGGGUCCAUUUCUGUCCCCCAAGGUACAAUCAACACAAAAGUACCCCAUAGGGCUCAUUAUUGGACCUCAAGGUACAUGUAUGUACCUUUUUGAGGGUCAAAAAGGUACAUAUUUGUUCCCAAGCAUUAAAAGGUACAUAUUUGUACCAUUUCUUUUAAAGGAUAAGGUACAAUGUUAAGAGACAGCCUCUUGCCAUUUUUUUUUAUUUGUUGUUCUAGACAACUGCUGUAAAUCUGUUCAGUAACGUAAAUAACUAUUGUGUCAAUUUUUGUUUCCUUUAGUUGGACACAUGGGUAUUGAAGUAGUAUUAGUUUUCUUCUGUUCAUUGACAGUGUGUUUAAUUUUAAAUUUUAAUGAAAAAAAAGUUAAUUUCACUUAAUAAAAACUGUGAUAUGAACUCAAAAACUGCAAUUGAUUAACCAUUAUUUAAACUGAAUAAAUACUGAAAAACUGAAUCCCUCACACACACCGAAAAAACCCCGCGCUUUUAUUUUGACACGCGCCCAUCCCCCCACAUCUCACGGUCGGAGUCAGUUUCACAGAGCAGCGCAGGAGGACGACACAGACACAUACAGAAGAACAUUAACAGUUUAGGGCAAACGUUUCCGCGCAAGUUUGAAUCUCUCUGUCAGUCAGUCAGGGGGAGAUUAACUGACUGACUGUCUACACGCGACCAAACAGUCAGUUAUACAGAAACCUUUUUAAGUUUAGUUUGAAUCUCUCUCAGUCAGUCAGGGGGAGAUUAACUGACAGACUGUAUAACGUUACAGGCCACCAAACAGUCUUACCAAGAAACCUUUUACAGUUUAGCACAAAUGUUUCCCGUGGAAGUUUGAAUCUCUCUCAGUCAGGGGGGAGAUUGACUGACAGACGGUCUACUUGCCACCAAACAGUAAUUAACCCUGAAACCUUUUUAAGUUUAGCACAAACGUUUCCUGCGCAAGUUUGAAUCUCUCAGUCAGGGGGGAGAUUGACUGACUGACUGUCUGUCUACUCGCCACCAAACAGUCAGUUACACAGAGGUAACAAGGUAACGUUACCACAUUUAUUAUGUUGUUUGAGUACACCACUGUUCUGUAAGUGAAAAAUAAUUCAUAUUUAUGUGUUUCUCUCUCAGUAAGGACUAACGUUAACUGACUGUCUGUCUGUCUGUCUGUCUGUCUGUCUGUCUGCUCUCAACCAAACAGUCAUUCAAGACCUUUUAAAGGUAACAUUACCACAUUCAUUCAUUCAUUUAUUAUGUUGUUUGAGUACACCACAGUUCUGUUAAGUGAAAAAUUAAUUAAUAUUUGUGUGUGUUUUCUCACAGUUUAGCACAAACUUUUCCCGCACUAGUUUGGAUCUUUACCAUUGAGGGUGGCUGCCUGUUUUCGACCAACCAUCAUUCACACGCAGAAACUUUAAAGAUAAGUAUGAACGUGCCCAGAGCAGUUUUCGAUCUUUACCAUUAAGGAGGCUGACUGACUAUCCUCUACCACCCAUCAUUAACACCAGAAAAACUAAAGAAAUGUUACUCCAUAUGGACCUAUUCAUUUACUCAUUAUGCUGUGAGUACACCACAGUUUUAUCAGGGAAAAAAUUUAUAUUUGUGUGUUUUCUCACUGCUUGGCAAGGACAGAUGUGGCCCUGUUAAAAAUGUUUAAAUGUCGUUUGGUUUAAGGAACAGCACACUGAUUUUGUUUUAAAAUAUUCCUGUUUGGACAGUCUGUUAAAGUCAUAAAGGAAUACUUGAUAUAUUUCAUAAGUAAAGUGUAAAUGUAAUAUUAGUUUUUAAUGUUGUGAAUUUGGACUGAACAGCACACUUCUGUUUUAUAUCUAAACCUUUUGUAAAAUAAAUGAUUGUUCAAUAAACUGUGUAUUUUAUCUU